This 4597-nucleotide long non-coding RNA is filed under the name Brassica napus (rape). RNAcentral's name for it is "long non-coding RNA (BNAP_LNC023529)". The record is from RNAcentral. Lineage: Eukaryota; Viridiplantae; Streptophyta; Magnoliopsida; Brassicales; Brassicaceae.
UUUAAAAUUAAUUCAUAUAUUUAAAAUUUCUUUAUUAUUUAAAUUGAUCUAUAAUAAAAUUGGUUUACAAAAGAAAAUCUAAUUAAAUAAUAAGCCAAAAACUAAACAAAGCUUUAACCUAAUUACUAACUAAACGCCGCCGCACCACCACCACCUUCGUUGUCUUCUUCAUCUUCUGAUCCUCACCCGCCGCACCACCACCUCUUCGUCUUCGUCGUGUUCUUCAUGACCUUCGUCGUCGUGUUCUUCCAUGGCCUUCGUCGUUGCAUCCAGCCAUGACCUCCUCCUCCAUUCAUCGUCACCGUCCCCCUCUUCCAUUCACCGUCGUCGUCCUCCUCCAUUCGCUGUUUCUGACUAAGCCCUCGCGUCUCUGUCUUCUCUCCUUCUCCGCCUCUCUUCUUCUUCGUGCUCGGUUCCACCUCCACCACCACCGCUAUCUUCCUUUGCCAUCUCCGCACCACAGCUUCUUCAGAUCCGGCAUCGGUGAAGAGAAGACAGGCUCGGUCGCAAGACGUUGUUUAGUUCGUCAACUUCCUUUCUCUACAGAAGAAACCAACACACAACCACAAUUAGAAAGUAAAACUGAUGAGAAACACAUGAACUUUAUCAAUCUGUUAAAACCAAAAAAAAUAAAGGAUUGACAGAAGCAAGAGAUUGCCAUAAGGAGAAGAUAGAAGAGAGAUUGACAAUCUUUAGAAAGAGAAGACGAAAGAUCUGAAAAAGAAAAGGAACAGAUCUGGACCGUUAGAUUUAAUCUCAUCCAACGGAUGAAAAAAUGAUCCAUGUGCUUAAAGUUUUGGCCAAUAAGAACUCUUCGAUGUUGUUGCACACAAAAAAAAACUUUUCUUUAUUUUUUUACGAGAACUCUUGUUGUUUUGGUUAUUAACUUAUUAUACAUGUAUUUUUAUAUUUUACAUUUUAAAACAUAUGAAUUAUAUUUAAAGUUGAAACAUAUUUUAAUUAUGUUUCAACUUUCUAAAUUUUAAUUAUGCUUAUAUGCUUGUACUUAUGAUUAAAUUUAUUUAACUAAAACUUAAAAAUUAUAUCUUAGUGUUUAUGUUUAUGAGUUUAAAGUUUGGAGUAUGAAGCUUAUGAUUUAGACUUAAGAUUUUGGGCUAAAGUUUUAAAAUAGUAGAUUUAAAGAUUACACUUAAUAUUUGUGGUUAAACUUUAAAUUUAGAUUUGAAGUUUAAAUAUUAGUAGAUGUAUGGUUUAUGUUUGAAGUUAGAGUUUAGGGUAUAGAGUUUGAUUGGAGAUUUAAGGUUUGUGGUUUGAAAGUUAUAUAUCAAGAUUAAAAAAAAAAUUGAGUUUAUGAUUAAGAUUUGAAGUUACAGUAUGAAAAUAUUAGAGUUUUAAGUUGUGUUUAGAGUUUAGGGGUUAAAAACUUGUUUAGAAUUUAGGGAUUCAAAAAGCUAAAAAUAGCAUUUCAUUAUGUUUUGCUAUUAAACAUACGCUAUCAUAGCGUUUCCGAAUAUAGUACUUUUUCAUAGUGUUUCCAAAUAUACAAACGCUAUCUAAAAUUAAAGGGUAUGUCAACCAAAAAACGUUAUACUCUGCUGCUAUCAAAACUCUUUUUUCUUGCAGUGAAUCAUAUAAGGACGAGAUAUAAUGAAGUGUCACUUCAUAAAUAUAGUGCUAAGUCGGUGGUCUAUCAGUUUCGUUUUAACUGAUCAUGAAUUCGUGAUCUUAUAAUAGGAUUCUCAUGUAGUGUUUUCGUUUUGGUUGACAUCCUAAAGUGUGAGAUAACUCAAAUAAGUAUAGAUGCACUACGUUAAAGACAACCAAUACAUUCUUCUGGAGUGUUUAUCUUCCCACUUUUCUAUAUAUUUUUGAUAAAAUAUUGAAUAUAACAAUGUUAGUAGAAUUGAGAGUUCUCUGGAAGUUCCACUGCCUUUAGGUUCCGAUUACGUGUGCCACUCUUGCUAUAGCUUUAACGCUGUGGUCGCUCAACGUGAACGACAUUGUGCCUUCGUAUCUCUCAUUUAAGAAAGAUGAUAAUCAUUUGAUGUGCAUACACGUAUCUAAUUUCAUUAUAACGACAGUAAUAUUGUGUAACACAUUUAGAUAACGGCACGCAACAAUGAAAAUAAUAGACUCUUCAGACCAAAUUUAUUAAUUAUUACUUGGGAUAGCAUCGGAGUAUUAGUUUUAAUAAGAUCCCACAUGUUAACAAUUUAUGGGAAUCUCAAUAUACGAAGAAUUAUAACUUUUUUUUUGUCAGCAAAGAGUUAUAAACUUUUAAAAUUGUAUUUAAAAUAUGUUUUAACAAUAGUGUCCAAAAUAUUUAAACCUUUAAGAAUGUUAAAAUGUGAUAUAAUGUCAAUCUAAAUUAUAAUAUACAUAGUUUAUAGUUGUUUAUUAAAUACACAAUAGAUAACAAACAUUUCACCUACCAUAAUAUUUUUCACUAUAAAUAACUCCUUUUUGUAGCCUCACUUCGCUCAUUCCAAACAAUCAAUUCAUUUGCAUUGUGUGCAAGCUUUCAGUUUUGUUUCUUCACCUUCCCAAACUCUUCUCAAAGUCGCAAACCUUUAUCGAAGCAAAUUAUUUUAAAAAGAAGAACCAACCUCCCUAAGAAUGAAGAUGAAGUUGGCUGUCGUUCAAUUUUUCAUUAUCUCUCUUCUCCUCUCAUCUUCUUUGUUUAUGCUUUCAAACGCAGAUUCAUGUAAGUAUACAUAAUUCAUUUCAUUAUUUAGAUAAAUAUUUAUUUGAAUCUCACUGUCUAGAUUUAUAUUUGGAAUGAUACAUGAACUAGCACCAUGCAAUGGAAAAUGCAAUGCGAGAUGUUCAAAGGCCGGAAGACAAGAUCGGUGUCUCAAGUAUUGCAAUAUAUGUUGCGAGAAGUGUGAUGAUCAUUGUGUUCCUUCAGGCACAUAUGGAAACAAAGAUGAGUGUCCUUGUUACCGCGAUACGAAGAACUCCAAUGGCAAACCCAAAUGUCCUUGAACAUGACUUGAAGAUCAUCCUCUCAUAGACAUCAUAUCUUUAUAUACACACAAAUAUUUACAAUUGUUGUUGACACAUGAAAUAAUGAGUUUGAUAUAUUCCUACGUAUGAAAAAUGUGUAAGCUCCUGACAAUAAACGAAAUAAUUAUAAUUAGUUAUAUACUAAAGGUGAAGUUUGUGUAUGUAUAUAUGUAUGAAGUACACAUAGUAGGUUAAUGAAAACAAUAUAUUGUAGCAAAAGUUUAUUACCAUGACAAGAUCAGAUUAAGGUGAUGAUUGUUUUGCUAGUUUUCAGAUUUUGGUUUUUGCUUUUUGCUUUUUAGAUUUUAGUUUUUAGUUUUUGGUUUUUGUCUUUGUAGUGGAUUUUAGUUUUUUGAAAAAAAAACAUGAAUGGUUGUUUUAGAUUUUAGUUUUUGGUUUUUAUUUUUUUUUUAAAUUAAUAAAAUGAAAAAUAUUAAUAAUAGUAAAAUUUUUAUUCUGUAAAAAUAAAAAAUAGAUGACAAAAAAGAAAUGCUAUUAUCAACAAUUAACAUGUGUUGAUUAGUUAAAAAAACAUACGUAAGUUGGAUCAUGAAUUUUUUAUUUGUAUUAAAAAAUAAUUGUAGUUUUUUAAAAAACAAAACUAAAAAAUAUUGGAUUUUGGUUUUUGAUUUUAGAUUUUUUAUUUCGAAAUUUUAAAUUUUGCUUAUUAGAUUUUAUUUUUCUAAAUUUUGAUUAAUGUUUUCUUUUAUUUUUUUCUGCUAUUUUUAAAAUGUUUUAACUUAUAAAUUGAUUUUUAAAAACAAACUUAAAUUACUACAAGAAUAUAUCACAAAUUUUCAAUAAAUAAUAUAUAUUAUUAAUAAAACAUGUAAACUUUACAUAAAAGUAAAAUUUAAAUAAUUAAUUUAAUUUUAUAGACAAGUUUUAGAAAUGUUCUUAUUAGAAAUUUAUUUUUGUAUUAUAUAUAUCAAACAAAUGCUUUUUACUGAAUCUUAUUUGUUUAUAGUAGUUAUUGUUUUAUUUGUUUUCCUGUCUUAGUGCAUUAAUAUAGCAAAAUUUUAAUUAGAAAGGAAACAAUUGAAAAACUGUAGUUAAAUUUUAAAAAAAAUCAUAAAAUUUUGGAUUUUGGUUUUUUCUUUGUAAAAGACAGUUAUUUGAAAGAAAGAAAACUAGUUUCCCUAGAUUAUAAGAAAUCUAUUACUCUAAAAGUUUGAUUGUCUAAAAAUGGUUUUAAAAAAAAAACACAAGGCAAAAACUAAUUCAAAAACUGCAAACAAUUACACGAACCAUCGAAACAGGAUGGUGGAGAAGUUUGCUUUACUAUGGUCUUGAGUCUCGAUGUAACACGUUUGCAAUAUGGCGUGACAUGUAAGUCAAUUGCAAUAUAUAUAUUAUUUAUCAGUCACAACAACACAUCACAGCUAGAUGAUGGCAAACAUUAACAAAAUGACACAAGUCUCAGGAAGUGAAGAUAAAAUGUCUUAGAUAUAUAACUGGCUCAAGAAAAGAAAGUUUUUCAUUGAAAAUUAAUGUCUACUUUGAAAGUCUUCAGUAACUUUUGCGCAAACCCCAAAACAAACAAAAUUAUCUAAGAAAACAAGAAGAGAAACGUCUACUACCCUCUUAGCUCUGAGCUCAAUCGAAUUCAUCAUCUCACCAUAAGGAGAAG